UUUGUUUAGCCUUGUGUGGCAUCUGAUUCAAACCAUGUGGCCGUAGAGAAGUGUUUCCUUCGGGUGGAAUUGCCUUGGAAGAUGGUAGUAAUUUAUCCCAUAAGUUUGCAAUAAAAAUAUCAAGUGAACUUAGCUACUUCUGAAGCAACAUACCGAGUAGGACUAACACAACCACUACACAGACCAUCGGUCAUUUUCUUGGUUUCUGCAGCCUUAAAAGGUCCUGCAAAAAACCAACACACAAGUAUAAACAUCAUUUUGCAAGCAAAAUAUUAUUUAGUAUAAAAACUAGUUAAUUAAAAAAUCAAAAUUAUUUAGCAUUAAAAAUAGUUAGUGGAAAUCUAAUUUAAUUAGAUAUUCUUAUUAUUAUAUUAUAUUUGUUUUUGGUAUGAUUUUUAAAGGUUGGGAAACUAAGAAAAUGGUCGACCGUGUGUGCAGUGGUUGUGUUAAUCCUACUCGGUACUCGCCAUAUUUUCACCAUGUUGCUUCAGAAGUAGCUAAGGUCAUUCAAUUGAUGUUUUGUUUGCGAACUUAUGGGAUAAAUUCCUACCGUCUUGCCAGGCAGUUCCAUCUGAAGGGAACACUCUAUGGCCACAAGGUUCUCAUCAGACGCCACACAAGGGUAAACUCCCGACAGAGAUUUCUCCUAUAGGAUCCCUAGCAUAAGAACUCAUCACAUUAAGUAAUAAUAAGGAAACCAAGUGAAACACAAAACUACUGCAUUUCAGAACAUAAUUUACAUAAGAUUUUUCCUUUCGGGAGACCUGAAGGAAUUAUACAGGAAAUAAGAAGACUACCUUCUUCCUUCCAAUCUUCGCUACCUGAUGAUACAAUGCCUUCAACAUAAGGCUUUAUUACAAGUGGAGAUGAAACAUCUACAACUACUAAUGACUGGGAGGCUGUGGUGCUCUUGCUCUAAGAGUGUUGAUGCUGUGGAGUCUGGUGCUUUGUGUCUUUUGUAGCGCUCAGUCGUCAUCCUUUUAUAGUGUGCAAGGGACACCGUGCGAUCCCUUCUUUAUUCCUCUAUAGCUUGUGCACUGUUGCAUGCCACGAGACAACUUCACUGGUUGAAACGUCAUGCAUGUUCCUUCGUGUGAGAUGAUGAACCACCCUAAUAUUUUAUCUACCAUGCAUUCCUUGUAGUUUGCGCACUCAAG
Molecule: long non-coding RNA, 1157 nt
Filed under: Triticum aestivum (bread wheat)
Lineage: Eukaryota; Viridiplantae; Streptophyta; Magnoliopsida; Poales; Poaceae
Description: long non-coding RNA (TAES_LNC009486)
Source: RNAcentral